CGAAGGGGGCUAGCGUUGUUCGGAAUUACUGGGCGUAAAGCGCGCGCAGGCGGUCCUUUAAGUCAGGGGUGAAAGCCCAGAGCUCAACUCUGGAACUGCCUUUGAAACUAGAGGACUUGGGUACGGGAGAGGUGAGUGGAAUUCCGAGUGUAGAGGUGAAAUUACGUAGAUAUUCGGAAGAACACCAGUGGCGAAGGCGGCUCACUGGCCCGUUACCGACGCUCAGGCGCGACAGCGUGGGGAGCAAACAGGAUUAGAUACCCUGGUAGUCCACGCCGUAAACGAUGGAUGCUAGCCGUUGGUAAGCAUGCUUAUCAGUGGCGCAGCUAACGCAUUAAGCAUCCCGCCUGGGGAGUACGGCCGCAAGGUUG
RNAcentral lists this ribosomal RNA (371 nucleotides) under uncultured organism. RNAcentral's name for it is "bacterial SSU rRNA". It matches the Rfam family "Bacterial small subunit ribosomal RNA", at positions 526 to 896 of the family's 1533-position model. The record is from RNAcentral.